This 542-nucleotide ribosomal RNA is filed under the name uncultured bacterium. Its description in RNAcentral is "bacterial SSU rRNA". It matches the Rfam family "Bacterial small subunit ribosomal RNA", at positions 361 to 917 of the family's 1533-position model. The record is from RNAcentral.
AUCUUGCGCAUGGGCGAAAGCCUGNGCAGCAACGCCGCGUGAGGGAUGAAGGCCUUCGGGUUGUAAACCUCUUUCAAGCAGGGACGAUAGUGACGGUACCUGCAGAAGAAGCUCCGGCCAACUACGUGCCAGCAGCCGCGGUGAUACGUAGGGAGCGAGCGUUGUCCGGAUUCAUUGGGCGUAAAGAGCUCGUAGGCGGCUCAGUAAGUCAGGUGUGAAACCCUCAGGCUCAACCUGGGGCCGCCAUCUGAUACUGCUGUGGCUAGAGCCCGGUAGGGGUACACGGAAUUCCUGGUGUAGCNGGUGAAAUGCGCAGAUAUCAGGAGGAACACCAGUGGCGAAGGCGGUGUACUGGGCCGGUGCUGACGCUGAGGAGCGAAAGCGUGGGGAGCGAACAGGAUUAGAUACCCUGGUAGUCCACGCCGUAAACGUUGGGCACUAGGUGUGGGGCCUUGUCAACGGGCUCCGUGCCGUAGCUAACGCAUUAAGUGCCCCGCCUGGGGAGUACGGCCGCAAGGCUAAAACUCAAAGAAAUUGACGGA